UAUGACACAGGUUUUUUGCAGCAGGAUGUAUUGAUAUGGUUACGUGAAUCUGGCUCAGUGUGGCUUCACGGUGAUCUCGCUUUAUGUAGCAAGUUCCUGUCCAUGGCGAAUUGGACGGUGCCAUUUACGAUCGGUCAUUCGCAACUCACCACACAUGAACGACCCUCCCAAUGAAGCCAAUGUUGUUGACUCUUGAACGGUGAUCUCGUUGGCGAAGAUUAAGGUGACAAUUGAAACCCGUAUUGACUGUCGUUUCAAUCCACAUCAUAAUCCCUUUUCCUCGAGAGGUUAUCAUUCACCAAUUUUUGGAGCACACACCUACCACUCGGCAUUGACUUCGUCUGUGGUUCGUAUCCGGGGUUUAGACGGUGCAACUUUGACUACAGGGUUAUGUGGGCAUGAUUGAUUGAAGCUUGCCGUUUGAAUUUUCCUGCAGGAAUAUUCUCUGCUCUGUAGCAGACACUCGGCACAGUAUCGUUCCAGCAACAUGAUUUUCUUGUUGUAGAAUUUAUUUGCGGAAGGAAUGAUGCAAGUCAACUGUCAUGAAGCCGUUCCGCUGCAGCUGCAAUGCAUAUAUUGUGUUCAUUCUGUUCGCGUAUUAUCUCGGUUCAUGCUCGAGGCAAGUAUUUCUCUGCGGUAAACUUCAGGUUAUUGAUGCUGAAUCUAGUUAAGUUUCGCACCGAAUCCAUUAUGCAACGGUCGCAUUUAGAAUCAGUGAAUGCUUAGUGAUCAACAAGUUAUCGAAUCUUCUUGAAAUUUAACCAUGUACACAUGUAGUCUUUGCAGGCUAUGCUGUGUCGGUCUGUUGCAGGAUGCUGUCAAAAACUGCAAAAUACUUCCUGUACUGCACCAGGGCGGGUAUAGACUGGAGAAGAAGAUCCCUAAGAUCCGCACUUGAUGUCCUUGGAUCAUUGCAAUGAGUAAUGCUACAUCAGUGACAAAAGAAACAAGUCCAUGCUUGAUCAAAAUGGUGGAUGGAACAAGUGGAGGAUCAAUUUUCCGCAACACAUGAAGGCAGUCAACCAAAGCUUCCAGAUAAUAUUCAGGGGUGUAGAUAAACACGGAACCCAUACUGCUAAGAACCAGUAGCAACUGGACAACCCACAUGCACAUUGCAUACAUUCCUCGCUGCUUCCAUCGAGAUAGCAAAGAGAUACGAUACCAAGCGCAAUGCCUAACACAGUCAAUAACCUCUUCCCCAUACCUGCUACGAGCUUCUUUCAAAUGCUUCAAUUUUUCACCACAAGCUCGGUCUCUUAUUUUCUUAUCAGUUUCCUCCAAAAGGGAGAUUGAUUGUGCUUGAAGAGUCAUGAUCGAGGCCUGCUUAAAAUUUGGAUCAAGACCAAAAUGAUACAGCCAUAACAAAGCAUAAAGCAGCUCUUCUUCUUGUAGCAUAUCCAUACACAUAUCAGUAUCCUUUGGGCCAGAUUUCAGAUGCUGCACUUGGUGGCGGUGAUAGAUGCAGGUGCCUGUACGCCGUGGAAACCCCACGGUCUUGUAAGCUGACAGCAGGUGUGUCCCUGCUGAACUGAUCAACGUGCUCUUUUAGUUCAACAGCAUGACCAAGCUUCUUUGAAUUUCUUAAUAGGCACUUCAUCCGGCAUUGGCUCAGAAUUGGCAAAAGCAUCAACGAUUGGCUUCAGCAACUUAAGCAUCUCUUAUGCCUUAUGAUGGCUGCGAAACAGAGGAUAUGUUGUCAACAAGAAUUUCCAAACAAUGAUAUCUUCACAAUGCUUCGCAAGUCUUGAAGAUUCUACAACUAGCUUCUCAAAGACGUCAUUGACGACACCGUUCAUGAUACCCGUGGCCUUGCUUAUUGCAGGAUAGUUAGCAAAUGUGAUUGUUGGAAGUUAGGAAGAUUUAAUUUAGUAACUAUGAUGAGAUGGUAUGAGGCCAAGUGCAGGUCUGUAACAGGAAUUUUGGUCAAUUCAACGUUUGGUGUUGUAUCUGAAUUCAAGCGAACCCUUUUUGAUAAUUCCGAAACUUUUGGAGCGUCAUUGGCAUAGCAGGUUUGUUGCAGGUUUGUGAAAAAAUCCUGACUGGACUUACAUGCCAAUGGACUGUAUUGCUGUUGUUUUUUACAUGGAGCUUUGUCUAUUGCAGCAUAUGGUUUGGUCCAUAACCUGCUUUUGGUCUGCAACAAGGCUUGUUGCAUUGGCUGCUGUAUUGUAGGAUUUUUUGGCAUUGAGUAUUACUCAACAUGAUUGUUUGCAUUUCCCUUGCGUUGUUGCACAUUGCCAAUCAUUGAUAUCAUGGUAUUGCUGGCUUGUCAUGUAUGAUGUGGCAGUAUUAAUUUGCGUGUUUUGGUUUUCUUUAACAGGAGAUUGAUGCAGAACUUGGGUUAUCCAUUGUGAGGUAAACUGCAAAUGUGUUGCCCUGCUGCUGACUUACUCUGACAGUGUUGAUGUUUCAAGUUGUUGCAGGUUUGCUUUUUCAUGCCGCAGCUCGUGUGCAUAACAGUUCACUUCAACUGUCAUUUCGGCUACGGUAUUUUGAUGCUUCAGCUGCUAUUGGAAGCGUGGCAAUUGUGAUGUCAAAACUGUAGAAGACCUCAGCUGGAAAGCUGGAUGAGCUGGCUGAGCUAAGCCCCGGAAUGCAUUCCUCCAUAUUCAUCAAUGCCAGGUCCGGGACCACCAUUGGUCUGAGAGAUAGCUGGUGCAGGAUCGUCAGCGCCAGAAGGAGGCCUUGGAGUACGAGUAUCAUCACUGUGUAGUUUAUCAGUUUCCGUUUCAGAGGGUAUUGUCUCUGUCUUCAGUGGAGGGCCACCUUGAAUCUCAUUGCCAUGUACAACAGAAUGCUCAUUACUAUCAUGUUGAACCUUGGUGAUUUCAGAAGCCUCACCCUUUCCAACAUUCUUAUUCAACGUAUCACCAUUUUCAAAUGCAUUAGCAUUUGGGCCUAAAGUCUUCACAAAGUGUGGAUCUUCACUAUUUUGCUUACUCCCAACCUCAGUGGAUUUCAACCUUGUUUCUUUUUCAGAUUUCAACUCAUUUUUUCCAAGUUUCCCCGAGGCAGAGUCAGUUUGUUGCUCAGUGACAUUACCUUGUCUUUCAAUUGGUUCCGGUGCCCUUGACUGCACUUGAUUAUUGGUCCCAACCAACAUAUUCUGAUUCCCUGGUCUAGCAGGAAUUGUAUUGGCAGAGUGUGCAAAUGGCGGUACGUGUCUUGCAUGAUUGGGAAUUGAAGGCCUUCCAACGACAUUUUGAGAUAGUGCGAUAUUACCCUUGGACUGGGGAUAAGCAUGCUUGGAAAAUGAAUGUACUGGAGGACCUUGAGGUCGAAGAUGAGAUGGCAUUGAGGUCUGGUGUUGUGCAAAUGGUUGCUGAGGUAAUAUUUGUUGAACCGGUUGCAAAAUAGGACGUUGGUUGGUUUGUCCAGUUUGUUGAUUAGGAGUGUAUCCUGGCUGCGGUUGCAGAGGAGGGGUGCUUUGACCUUGAACAGAUGGAGGCAACAAAAGCUACCUGCUGAUUAGGAUACAUAGCAUGAGAGUACUUGCUUGUUGAUGUGGCACUAGGGUGGUUUUAUGUAUCUGUUGUCUUUUACCACAUCAGUAUUGUGUUAUUGACUUUGAUUCAUUUCCUUGGAUUUCAUGCAGGUCAUGUGCAUAUGGAGGGUGAUUAGUUGAACAAAGCAACAUGAUGGCCAAAAUUGAGUUUUAUGACCACUCACAACACAUGGCAAACCAAAAAACAAUAGUCAAAGAUUAAAGAUUGAGAAUGGAAUCAGAAUUGGGAUAGGGUUUUAGGAAUUUGGGGAAUUGGGUUGACUUUGGUCAAAGUUGACCAAAAAGUCAAUUGUUGACCAAAAAGUCAAUCGUUGACCAAAAAGUCAAUUGUUGGUCAACACAUCUUUCUUUGUAUUUUUUCCAUGUAAUGACCCUUUUAUGAUCAUGUAAUGAAUGACACUUUCCCAUCUGAAAUGAACUUGGACUGGUAUUUGAACUGAA
Lathyrus oleraceus (garden pea) is the source of this 3946-nucleotide long non-coding RNA. RefSeq lists it as uncharacterized. NCBI's taxonomy places the organism in Eukaryota, Viridiplantae, Streptophyta, Magnoliopsida, Fabales, Fabaceae. The record is from RefSeq and is a predicted model, not a curated record. The transcript is spliced from 2 exons.